Molecule: long non-coding RNA, 434 nt
Organism: Gorilla gorilla gorilla (western lowland gorilla)
Lineage: Eukaryota; Metazoa; Chordata; Mammalia; Primates; Hominidae
Exons: 4
Source: RefSeq, a predicted model, not a curated record
CGCCCACAGAGGCCCUGCUCACGGAGGCCCCGCCCUCACCUGCCGCAGGCCCAGUGCCCCGGGGACCAGGAGCGGGGCGUCGGAGGGGUCCUGGACCCUCGGCCCAAGGUGAUCUGGAAGGACAAUCUAUGAAUUGGACAAGUGAAGAAGGAAGAGGAGACAUUAUAAGAAGUGGGACCAACAUAGACCGAGCCUGGCAGUCAAGAAGGUGGCUGUGUACAAGCUAGGAAGAGGGCCCUCAGCAGAACCAUCCUGGCUGACCAUGCAGGCAUUCCGAUCUUGGACUUCCAGCCUCCAGAACUGGAGAUAACUAGAAUUACGCCUCAACACAACACAAUACAAGCAGAGGUAUGAAGUUCCAGGAGGAAAUUGUUACAUAUCAAAAAAAAUUCUGUGACCUGGCUAAUAUGAACCAGUUGGAGCUGGGAGAACAC